This 482-nucleotide ribosomal RNA is filed under the name uncultured bacterium. RNAcentral's name for it is "partial 16S ribosomal RNA". It matches the Rfam family "Bacterial small subunit ribosomal RNA", at positions 28 to 507 of the family's 1533-position model. The record is from RNAcentral.
GACGAACGCUGGCGGCGUGCUUAACACAUGCAAGUCGAACGAUGAAACAGAGAAACGCGAACUUCGGUUCAAAUUUCACUUCGGAUUAUUGGCAGACGGGUGAGUAACUCGUGAGCAACCUACCUCUUACAAAGGGAUAGCCUAGGGCAACCGUGAUUAAUACCAUAUGACACAUUCAUAAGGCAUCUUAAGAAUGUUAAAGCUACGGCGGGAAGAGAGGGGCUCGCGUCCCAUUAGCUAGAAGGUGAGGUAACGGCCCACCAAGGCGACGAUGGGUAACCGGGCUGAGAGGGUGAACCGUCACAUUUGAACUGAGACACGGUCCAAACUCCUACGGGAGGCAGCAGUGGGGAAUAUUGCACAAUUGAGGGAACUCUGAUGCAGCGACGCCGCGUGAGCGAUGAAGGAAUUCGUGUCGUAAUGCUCUGUUCUAUGUGAAGAAAAGGACUGUACCAUAGGAGAAAGCCCCGGCUAAAUACGUG